RNAcentral lists this ribosomal RNA (253 nucleotides) under uncultured bacterium. RNAcentral describes it as "partial 16S ribosomal RNA". It matches the Rfam family "Bacterial small subunit ribosomal RNA", at positions 524 to 776 of the family's 1533-position model. The record is from RNAcentral.
UACGGGGGGGGCAAGCGUUGUUCGGAAUUACUGGGCGUAAAGGGCUCGUAGGUGGCCAAUUAAGUCAGACGUGAAAUCCCCAGGCUUAACCUGGGAACUGCGUCUGAUACUGGUUGGCUUGAAUUCGGGAGAGGGAUGCAGAAUUCCAGGUGUAGCGGUGAAAUGCGUAGAUAUCUGGAGGAAUACCGGUGGCGAAGGCGGCAUCCUGGACCGAGAUUGACACUGAGGAGCGAAAGCAUGGGGAGCGAACAGG